Molecule: ribosomal RNA, 253 nt
Filed under: uncultured bacterium
Lineage: Bacteria
Description: partial 16S ribosomal RNA
Rfam family: Bacterial small subunit ribosomal RNA
Source: RNAcentral
UGCGUAGGGGGCAAGCGUUGUCCGGAUUUAUUGGGCGUAAAGAGCGUGUAGGCGGCCAGGUAGGUCUGCUGUGAAAACUCGAGGCUUAACCUCGAGAUGUCGGCGGAAACCAUCUGGCUAGAGUCCGGAAGAGGAGAGUGGAAUUCCUGGUGUAGCGGUGAAAUGCGCAGAUAUCAGGAAGAACACCCGUGGCGAAGGCGGCUCUCUGGGACGGUACUGACGCUGAGACGCGAAAGCGUGGGGAGCGAACAGG